Molecule: ribosomal RNA, 973 nt
Filed under: uncultured bacterium
Lineage: Bacteria
Description: bacterial SSU rRNA
Rfam family: Bacterial small subunit ribosomal RNA
Source: RNAcentral
AGAGUUUGAUCAUGGCUCAGAAUCAACGCUGGCGGCGUGCCUAACACAUGCAAGUCGAACGCGAAAGUGGAGCAAUCCAUGAGUAGAGUGGCAAACGGGUGAGUAACGCGUGGGUGACCUGCCUUCGAGUGGGGGAUAACGCUCCGAAAGGGACGCUAAUACCGCAUAACAUCCUGCCUUUUAAGAGGUGGCGAUCAAAGCCUGGGACCGCAAGGCCAGGCGCUCAAAGAGGGGCCCGCGUCUGAUUAGCUAGUUGGUGAGGUAACGGCUCACCAAGGCUUCGAUCAGUAUCCGGCCUGAGAGGGCGGACGGACACACUGGGACUGAGACACGGCCCAGACUCCUACGGGAGGCAGCAGUGGGGAAUUGUUCGCAAUGGGCGCAAGCCUGACGACGCAACGCCGCGUGGAGGAUGAAGAUCUUCGGGUCGUAAACUCCUUUCGAUCGAGACGAACGGCCUCCGGGUGAACAAUCCGGAGGAGUGACGGUACCGAGAGAAGAAGCCCCGGCUAACUCCGUGCCAGCAGCCGCGGUAAUACGGGGGGGGCAAGCGUUGUUCGGAAUUACUGGGCGUAAAGGGCUCGUAGGUGGCCAUCUAAGUCAGACGUGAAAUCCCUCGGCUUAACCGGGGAACUGCGUCUGAUACUGGACAGCUUGAGUUUGGGAGAGGGACGCGGAAUUCCAGGUGUAGCGGUGAAAUGCGUAGAUAUCUGGAGGAACACCGGUGGCGAAAGCGGCGUCCUGGACCAACACUGACACUGAUGAGCGAAAGCCAGGGGAGCAAACGGGAUUAGAUACCCCGGUAGUCCUGGCCCUAAACGAUGAAUGCUUGGUGUGGCGGGUAUCGAUCCCUGCCGUGCCGAAGCUAACGCAUUAAGCAUUCCGCCUGGGGAGUACGGUCGCAAGGCUGAACUCAAAGGAAUUGACGGGGGCCCGCACAAGCGGUGGGAGCAUGGUGGUUCAAUUCGACGCA